AUGGAGACGCCCACCCCAUGGAGGGUCCUCGAGUUCUACAGCGGUAUCGGCGGCAUGCGGUACUCCCUUGCGUCGUCGGGCGUUCGAGCGGAGGUGGUGGAGGCCUUUGACAUCAACGACGUCGCCAACGACGUCUACGAGCACAACUUCGGCCACCGCCCCUCCCAGGGAAACAUUCAAACACUCACUGCUGGUGAUCUAGAUAAGUACAAGGCACAUGCAUGGCUCCUUUCUCCUCCAUGUCAACCAUACACACGGCAAGGACUUCAGAAACAUUCAGCUGAUGCUCGGGCAUUUUCAUUUAUAAAGAUUUUAAACCUUAUGCAAAACAUGAGCUUUCCUCCACAAAUGUUAUUUGUGGAAAAUGUUGUCGGAUUCGAGGUGUCUGAUACACACGACCAGUUGUUAGCGGUCCUUUCAACUCUCAAUUUCAACACACAAGAAUUCAUCCUAAGCCCCUUGCAGUUUGGUGUCCCAUAUUCUAGACCGCGCUACUUCUGUUUGGCAAAACAGGAAUCUAUGUCUUUUCCAAAUCCAUCAGUCAAUGACAAGCUGCUUAGGGCACCUACAUGCCUAACAUUGAACACUAUGAGAACUCAGAUUAGCUAUGACCAGAAUGAAGAUGAUCUGGAAGUAGUAUGUAAUCCAAUAAGAAACUUCCUUGAAGCACAGAGUAUUGGAGAUAAGGAAUGUUCAGCCAUCAUCUCUGACUUUAAGGAGGCUGAUGGAUGCACUCUGAUUGAAACUGCUUCACAUGACUACACAGUUCCACUAAGCUUGAUUGAACGGUGGGGAAAUGCUAUGGAUAUUGUAUACCCUGAAUCAAAACGGUGCUGCUGUUUUACUAAAAGUUAUUAUCGCUAUGUGAAGGGCACAGGCUCUGUACUGGUUACAUCUAAAAACCUCAAACCAGUUCCAAAAGAGAACCUUGAAAUGUCUUCACUGAAUGAGUUGGGUUUACGGUUUUUCACCCCUCGAGAGGUCGCUAAUUUGCAUUCAUUUCCCCCGAGUUUCCGUUUUCCGGGUCACAUAAGCCUCAGACAACAGUAUGCCAUGCUGGGUAAUAGUCUGAGCGUAGCGGUUGUGGCUCCUUUGCUGCGCUAUCUGUUUGCCGAGACAUAG
Molecule: ribosomal RNA, 1122 nt
Filed under: Triticum aestivum (bread wheat)
Lineage: Eukaryota; Viridiplantae; Streptophyta; Magnoliopsida; Poales; Poaceae
Description: partial small subunit ribosomal RNA
Source: RNAcentral